GGCCCGAGUUGUAAUUUGCAAAGGAUGUUUCUGGGGCGUUGCCUUCCGAGUUCCCUGGAACGGGACGCCAUAGAGGGUGACAGCCCCGUAUGGUUGGAUACCAAGCCUGUGUGAAACUCCUUCGACGAGUCGAGUAGUUUGAGAAUGCUGCUCUAAAUGGGAGGUAAAUCUCUUCUAAAGCUAAAUACCGGCCAGAGACCGAUAGCGCACAAGUAGAGUGAUCAAAAGAUGAAAAGCCCCUUGAAGGGGGGGUUAAAUAGUACGUGAAUUUGUUGAAAGGGAAGCUUUUAUGACCAGACUUGUGCCGGGCGUUUCAUCCGGUGUUCUCGGCGGUGCACUCCGCCUGGCUCAGGCCAGCAUCGGUUUCCGUGGGGAGAUAAGAGCGGUGGGAACGUGUCUCUUCACGGGGAGUGUUAUACCCCGCCGUACGAUACCCUCGUGGGGACCGAGGUUCGCGCAUCUGCAAGGAUGCUGAUAUAAUGCUCAUCAGCGACCCGUCUUGAAACACGGACCAAGGAGUCGUCCAUUAGAGCGAGCGUUUGGGUGUCAAACCCGCACGCGUAAUGAAAGUGAAAUUAGGUGAGAGCUUCGGCGUAUCAUCGACCGAUCCUGAUGUUCUCGGAUGGAUUUGAGUAAGAGUUUUAACGGACGGACCCGAAAGACAGUGAACUAUGCUUGUAUAGGGUGAACCCAGAGGAAACUCUGGUGGAGGCUCGCAGCUGUUCUGACGUGCA
RNAcentral lists this ribosomal RNA (734 nucleotides) under Pseudoplagiostoma sp. RNAcentral's name for it is "partial large subunit ribosomal RNA". It matches the Rfam family "Eukaryotic large subunit ribosomal RNA", at positions 135 to 895 of the family's 3401-position model. The record is from RNAcentral. Lineage: Eukaryota; Fungi; Ascomycota; Sordariomycetes; Diaporthales; Pseudoplagiostomataceae.